UGCGCAGGCGGUUCAGCAAGCUUGGUGUUAAAUAUCCCGGCCCAACCGGGGGGCUGCGCUGAGAACUGCUGGGCUUGAGCUCAGGGAGGGGAAGCUGGAAUUCCUGGUGUAGGGGUGAAAUCUGUAGAGAUCAGGAAGAACACCGGUGGCGAAGGCGAGCUUCUGGCCAUGGACUGACGCUGAGGCACGAAAGCGUGGGGAGCGAACA
This 208-nucleotide ribosomal RNA is filed under the name uncultured bacterium. RNAcentral's name for it is "partial 16S ribosomal RNA". It matches the Rfam family "Bacterial small subunit ribosomal RNA", at positions 568 to 774 of the family's 1533-position model. The record is from RNAcentral.